Molecule: transfer RNA, 66 nt
Filed under: Notodoris gardineri
Lineage: Eukaryota; Metazoa; Mollusca; Gastropoda; Nudibranchia; Polyceridae
Description: tRNA-Glu
Source: RNAcentral
GUUCUUGUGGUGAAUUUACUAUCACGUUAUCUUUUCGAGGUAAAAUUGAGAACAUCUCCAAGAAUA